UACGUAGGUGACAAGCGUUAUCCGGAAUUACUGGGCGUAAAGCGCACGCAGGCGGCCGAGUAAGUCUGACGUGAAAUCUCCCGGCUUAACCGGGAGCGGUCGUUGGAAACUACUUGGCUUGAGGCGAUGAGAGGGGUGUGGAAUUCCCGGUGUAGUGGUGGAAUGCGUAGAUAUCGGGAGGAACACCGGUGGCGAAGGCGGCAUCCUGGACCGGCAUUGACGCUGAGGAGCGAAAGCCAGGGGAGCAAACGGG
RNAcentral lists this ribosomal RNA (253 nucleotides) under uncultured bacterium. RNAcentral describes it as "partial 16S ribosomal RNA". It matches the Rfam family "Bacterial small subunit ribosomal RNA", at positions 524 to 776 of the family's 1533-position model. The record is from RNAcentral.